UACGGAGGAUCCGAGCGUUAUCCGGAUUUAUUGGGUUUAAAGGGUGCGCAGGCGGGAGAUUAAGUCGGCGGUGAAAUUUUGCAGCUCAACUGUAAAAGUGCCUUCGAAACUGGUUUCCUUGAGUGUAGAUGAAGUAGGCGGAAUUUGUGGUGUAGCGGUGAAAUGCUUAGAUAUCACGAGGAACUCCGAUUGCGCAGGCAGCUUACUAAACUACUACUGACGCUCAUGCACGAAGGCGUGGGGAUCAAACAGGAUUAGAUACCCCGGUAGU
This 271-nucleotide ribosomal RNA is filed under the name uncultured prokaryote. RNAcentral's name for it is "partial 16S ribosomal RNA". It matches the Rfam family "Bacterial small subunit ribosomal RNA", at positions 524 to 794 of the family's 1533-position model. The record is from RNAcentral.